UAGGGAAUAUUGCAAAAUGGGCGAAAGCCCGAUGCAGCAACGCCGCGUGGGCGAUGAAGGCCUUCAGGUCGUAAAGCCCUUUUUGAGGGGAUGAGGAAGGACAGUACCCUCAGAAUAAGCCUCGGCUAACUACGUGCCAGCAGCCGCGGUAAAACGUAGGAGGCGAGCGUUAUCCGGAUUUACUGGGCGUAAAGCGCGUGCAGGCGGAUUGGAGAGUUGGAUGUGAAAGCUCCCGGCUUAACUGGGAGAGGUCGUUCAAUACUUCCAGUCUUGAGUGCAGUAGAGGGAAGUGGAAUUCCGGGUGUAGUGGUGAAAUGCGUAGAUAUCCGGAGGAACACCAGUGGCGAAAGCGGCUUCCUGGACUGUAACUGACGCUCAGACGCGAAAGCUAGGGUAGCAAACG
This 403-nucleotide ribosomal RNA is filed under the name uncultured bacterium. Its description in RNAcentral is "bacterial SSU rRNA". It matches the Rfam family "Bacterial small subunit ribosomal RNA", at positions 355 to 774 of the family's 1533-position model. The record is from RNAcentral.